Gymnogyps californianus (California condor) is the source of this 644-nucleotide long non-coding RNA. RefSeq lists it as uncharacterized. The transcript is spliced from 6 exons. Lineage: Eukaryota; Metazoa; Chordata; Aves; Accipitriformes; Cathartidae. The record is from RefSeq and is a predicted model, not a curated record.
CAGAGCUGGCUUUACCCCUGUGGAUGCUACUGAAGAGUGCUGACUUGCGAGCAGACCAGAUACAGAGAGGUGAAAUGGGGAAAACCACUCUUCCAGCCCUCCCACUGCCUGUCUGCAGCUGGAAUGUACUUACUUCUGGACUGUUGCUGGAUUUGAAGAUGUCGUUGAUGGGGUCAUCGGAAUCCGCUUCCCAGUGAAAAAGACAUCAACAAAGUGAAAAUUACUGGAGAAGGAAGUGGAGAAUUACUCUCCAUCUUUUGAGGACAGAAGAGAAACAACUCCUGAGAUCAUAAUAAAGUAUCCACAAUGUAGGAAUUCCUUAUUCAGCAAGCUGCGCAGGCCUGGCUGAUGGUUUUAAAUGCUUGGAGUUGGCAGUUCUGAGUCCUGAUUUGAGCCAUUCCCUUUUCCAAAGAGACUGCAAGCCGUCAAAAGACAAAAGAUAAGCCUGUGGCCAUAUGGUGGAAUAUUUCCAGAUCCAAAUCAGCCAGGAAAAAAGUGAGACUACGAGACAAACACCAGAGCUCUCGAGUUUCGUCUGUCCCAGGAUGAAGUGUAAUGUCUCCAGUGAUACAGAACAGCCACAGGUCUGUCAUGCUACUGCACCAGACAGAUGUGAUCGGAGCAUCAUUACUGGACAAGCAAGA